UUCAUUUUUUAAGAAAGAUCAGCUAUUCACUUUUAUCAUCACAGGGUAACCUAUCAUAUGUAAUAGAGAGCAUCGUCAUUCGUCAAUGCAAAGGGCAUUAGCGCCAUCUUCUGAAAGUCACCUGCCUGAACUGCUAUGCCAUUUUCGUAUCAUAUACGACGUUAUCGAUUCAGUGUAGAGGAAGAUUACAGGGCCAGUGGAGUAUUUGUCGCAAUCGAUCUAUUGUUUGUUGUUUAACAAAGUUUAAUUUAUUUUUUUCAUUAUAUGGAAUUUUGGUAUUGACGAGAGGUUUAUCAGAGCUGUAACAUAUAUUUUAUACUUAAUAUCUAUCUGUUCGACCGUUCGCGAAGAGACGCAAUCGCGAGGAAGCGCGCCAGGGGGAGUUGUAAAUUCCCAUUACGAUUAGACAAUCGACGCCACAAAAUAAUCGAUUUCGUUUAGCAUAAUAGAGUUGGUUGAACUGAUUAUAACAUUGAGGAUGAAAAUUAAUGAAGAGAUGGUGACUAAUCUAAGGACGAUAAACCAGAGAAGUUCGACGACGAUGCUGCCGCAGAGGAAAACUAUUGCUGGGUGUGUUGGUCGUCUCACCAUCGGUCACUUGCGGGUGGACAUGACAGUUGAACAUGGGAAAACCCGACAACAAAACAAAAAUCUUUUGUCUGAUGGAGCGAUAACCAUAAGGAACGUCUCGACUUGAAUAUAUUUUAAAAUGAUUAAAGGCUUAAACAAUAAAAUACAAA
This is a long non-coding RNA of Bombus terrestris (buff-tailed bumblebee), 740 nucleotides long. RefSeq lists it as uncharacterized. The transcript is spliced from 2 exons. The record is from RefSeq and is a predicted model, not a curated record. NCBI's taxonomy places the organism in Eukaryota, Metazoa, Arthropoda, Insecta, Hymenoptera, Apidae.